RNAcentral lists this long non-coding RNA (43421 nucleotides) under Linum usitatissimum (flax). Its description in RNAcentral is "long non-coding RNA (LUSI_LNC004262)". Lineage: Eukaryota; Viridiplantae; Streptophyta; Magnoliopsida; Malpighiales; Linaceae. The record is from RNAcentral.
UUUUUUAAUGUAAUACUAAGUUAAAAUAUACCAAAAAACAUUCUUUCUACUAUUUUUAGUUAAAGUACUACCGGCAUUUUUUUCCUUAUCAAGUAAUAGUAAAUACAAGUACUAUCCCUAAAUGAUAAUUAAUAUGUAUCAAGUAUCAAGCUGAAACAAGAAAACAGUACGCCGGAUCUAAAAUUGCCCUAAGGCGAACUCGGAAAAUUCGUAAAUAUAUACAUGAAUUUACACCUCAGGGUUGAAAUUGCCCUAAGUCGUGGCUCCCUGAGAACCCCUUGUACCCGCCCCUGACUGUUGUUGUGUUGUGAAUUCUGCAUACUGGAAGUUCUGAGCAUUUCCAUAUGCUAAGCACACCACGAGUGUGGCAUUGGUCUCCAUGGCCGUGGCAUGUGAGCAGAGCACGACCAUGGCAUGUGAGCUGAGCAUAGGUGAUGUGCUUGAUUAUUAGCACAUUUGUUCCCUCUUCAAUUGAUAUUUUUAGACGUUUGUUGCAUGUUUGGAGACAGAUCAAAAAUCAGCGAUAGACAAAGAUUCCUCGACAAAAGAUGUCUUCCUCUUGGGGUUAUUUUCCUUUCUUCUUACUUUCUUAUUUUCUGAACCAUGAGUAGUUAAACUCUUCGUGUUGUUUGGAUUAGAUGAAACUUUUUUUUAUCUUAGUUUUCAUAUGGAUGAUGAUGGGGAUUUAACCCUUUGAUUUUGUUAUCGAGGUUAUUCAGACUUUUGAUGUGUUUCUUAUAAACCUAAUUUCCGAUUCUUUCUCGUCUAGCCAUCUUGAUUAAAUCGUUUUCAUUGAUUUAUGGGUCUAAGAGGAAGGUAGAUCAAUAGGAAACAUAGGAAGAACUCUAGAUUCCCCAUUAGCUUGAGAAAGGAGUGGUUCGUCUAGGAUUUUUGCAUCAUUUAUCGUUUUGGUAUUUCAUCAGAAACCUUUAGUGCGUGAUGCUUGGUUGUAGAUUAGCUUGAGAGAGGAGUCUAUAGUCAAGCAUAAUAGAUCCUUAGAGUCGUGAAAGUGACCUAAGACGAUCAUAGGAAAUUGCCAAGCCAUUAUAAUCUGAUUAACCGAGAUUGCUUAUCAUUCAUCCAUACAUUGCUAGCUUUAGUGGAUUCGAGUCCGAACAACUUUCAUUCCCAUAUUUGAAACUUAAUCUCUUGCAUUUGUUUCUUUUAAUUUGAAUUCUUAGUUCAUAAUUAGAUACUACAACACUCAAACAAACAAACUUUCACUAUCACUUGGUCUAGUUAGCAUAUUUUAAUGAGUAAUAUCGUAAGAAAGACCCUAGGUAAAAUAUGAUUCCAUUAGUUUAUUCUUGUGGAUAUUUGAAAAGCAGGGUAAAAUCUGCUCGUCAAUAGGCGUGAGGCUUGUUCCCUCGACGUGACAUUUGUUUUUUGUCGUAGCCGGCAUCACAAUACGGGCGUGAUGCAUUCUGCAUGACUGUGGCUAGUAUACAACUCAUGGUCAUGGUGUUGCAGACCACGUCUAUAACGGUUGUAUAUAAAAAAUGUUCACCGCUCAGAGUUGUGACAGAAGCAGUUUUUCAAAAUUCUUUUCUCCCCUAAAGUUCUUGAUGAAUGAAGAUUUCUUCAGAGAAAUCUCAAUUGGAGUAGCAAAUGGCGCUAGAUCAGCAUCAAACUUCAGAAAGGUGUUUCAUGCACUAGGGUGAGCCUAGCUUUAACGAAGUUAGUUUCGUCAAUUUCCCUCUAUUUUUGUCCUCUCCAAAUUAGUUAUAAAAAAAGAUAUUUUCCUGAUAAUUUUUGGGAAUUUCUUUCAUAUAUUGAGGUUUCUUCUUGGAGGAUUCCAUGAAGGUGUAGUGAAAGUUUCAAAUUUUCAAGUCUCCAUUUUAAGUUUUAAGCCAGGAAAGCUCUAUCUAGGUGGGGGUUCAUCUCUACAUUCUGAUUUAAGAUAAGUAGAACAUCAGGAUAGUUUCUUAAUGUCAAUGUUAUCAAUAUUUUACAUGUAUCUGCAUCUAUAACGGUUCUUUAUUAGAAAACCCGAGUUUUGUUUCUGGUACCAUAGUGUGUCUAAUGUCUUAUUAUGGAGCUUAAUGCUCAUUAUGUUUAGUUUCUCUAUAGAUAUAUGUUGAUCUACCCUUUUUAACUUUCGUACUAUCAUUUAUAGGCUUGUGAUGUGUGCUAGAAUAUUGUAACACUCUAACACAUACACAAGUGUCGUUAUUGUUCGUAGGGUCCCUUUUCGAUAUGCUUAUGCACAAUCUAGCAUCUCAUGAUAUAGUGGUCCAAAGUUGAAAGGUUUUCUAUAACUAAAUGUAUUUCUAAUAUGAAAACAACGAACCAACUAAACUAAACAAGCAAGCAAGACACAAAAGUUGAUCAAAAGGGAGAAGUUAUGUUACUUGGAAAGGAGGUGAUCAAGCUCAAACUACCUAAAACAUCAAGUUGGACACAGUAGACACCGGUACGGUUAUGAUGAUGAAUUUCCACUUGGCAUUGGAACGAAGUUGUGUUGUGGUCUUCUACACAACCUACCAUCAGUAGACCACUCAAUUAUAUUGAGGGUUCGUGUCCACUCUCAAUCAAGGUAUCUAGCAAUGAACACAAGGUGUUCGAUAAAAUGUGAAGGUGACAUGACCGCCUCAAGGACCUCACAAUGACUUGGUAAGGAUACUAACUUGGUAACAUCAAUUUCCAAAAGCUCAAAGCUUCACUUAACUUGGUCCAUCAAGUAAGAAUUGAACUACCCGCCAAGUAUUUGAUGAAAUGUCCCCACGAGAAUUCCAACACAAAUGGUUCAAUACUAGGCUACUUACAAAUGAAAUCCUGGCAAGGUAAUGCAUAGAAUAUCAAGCAUUUCAUCCAAAUUAUGUAAUAAUAUCAAAUGGAUUGCAAUAACACAUAUCACUACGCACAUCAACAUCAUUCAUGGCAUCCAUGUAUGUCUAAUUAUAAUAUUUUAGGAUGAAUCAUGGAAAUAUCACACAUCCAAUUCAAAUAACAACACGUAUUUAGUUACACAUGAUCUACAAAGAAGAGAUAAAAAGAUGAAAAACUUGUCCAAAUUUAUAUUAAGAAAUAAAAAGAACAAGCUUUAAUCUUCACUUUCAUCUUCUAAUCUUCAAUCCAAUGCUCCAAACUUCCUUUUGCUUUAAUUUGAUUUUUUAAUGUGACUUCUAAGGUUCCAAAGAAAACGAAAAAGGGAAGAAAAUUGCACUCAAAAGGAUGGGAAAAGAUGAAAUGGAAAACCUUCGCUUCUCUCUCUUGAAAUGGAUAUUUAAAACAAAAAAAAUUUCAAAUGACUAACCACAGUUGUCACAUACAGUAUCAAUCGUAAUAGGCAUUAUGACUGUGACAUGUUUGGUCACGACCGUGACCUUACAAAAUAACAACAAUCCCCAUUUUGUUUCGUGCAUAUCUUCUUCAUUUGGACUCUGAUUUUGCUUUAAUUUAAACCUUUGGUUUCAUAAUUGAUCCCUCUAUCACAUGAAUAUUUGAAAUCUAAGAGAACACUCGAUGAAGACACAUAAAUGGGAUGAAAUGGCCCGUUUGCGAGAGAUCUAACUAGAAUAGAAUUUAUGGCAAACCUGUCAUAAAUACAUGGAAAAUAACAUCGAAACAAUCACGAAUAUAGCUAAACCAAGGGAGUUUAUCACCAGGUUUCAAGGUGAUGAUACCAGUUAGGUAAUUCUGAUUGCAUACUAGCUGACCACCCCCGGGCUGUGAAACCCCCUAGGCUACUACUUCUGUUUCUAAUAUCUUUGGCAUGUUUUUCAUGGUUCGAUAGCAUCAAAAAAAUCAUGAACAUACUUGGCAAAUAAAAUAAAAAUCAAAAAAAUCAUGAACAUACUUAGUUAUUAUAAGGUCAAAACCUUUAUAUAAGAACGCCAUAACUAGUCAUAAGAACGUGUAUCCAGUUGUAAGAACGAUAUAACUAGUUAUAGAUAAUUCAUGUAUCACACUACAGACGAUUCAUCGUGUAAUUGGUUACAUUCAAUUAUAACCAGUUAUGCAAAGGUGGUCGAAACCUCAAUAGUGUCUUGCCCGCUAUUAUAACUGUUUACUGAGUCGCAUAAGAAGUUAUGAGUGGUUGUGACUAAUUAAACAUACAUGUAACCAAUUAGAGAUCAUGUAACCAGUUAUAAAUGCUUGAAAUGCUUGAAGUAGUUUGCGAGAGGCAAACAUGUUUAAAUGUGGGAUGGUUUGAUGUCACAUAGAAACAUGGUGAUAACCUCCCUUAAACUAUAUUUAUGAUUGAUUCGAUGUUAUUUGUUUAGUAUUUGUGACAGGUUUGCCUACAAGUGCUAUUAUAGAUAGAUCUCUAUCAAACGUGCCAUUUUGUUGUUUUUUUUCGAGUCUUAUCUUAGAUUGUAGGUAUCCACAUGAUAGAGGGAUCAAUUACCAAACCAACGGUUCAAAACGAAACUCAAAUAGAGGUCAAACGAGAGAGAUAUGGGCGAAAAAAGUCACGAAGGCUCACUAAAAAAAUCGCCAGAAAAGUCAAGCUAAAAAAGUUACGCAAAAAAGUAAAUGAAAAAUUACAGAAUAAUCGUCAAAAAAGUUACCAGUGGCGGCACCUAACUGGAGGUGGCUGUCACUAUUGGAAGUUGUGAAAAAAAUAAUAAAUAAAUUAAAUUAUUAAAUGAUUUAAUUUUCCACUUAAAUUUAGCAGAAGAAGAAGAGGAACAAGAAGAAGAGGAAGAAGAUGCCAACCAUAAUGUGUAUCCAAUUUAGGUUUUCUUUUGAGUUGGUAGGGGAGUUGAUUGUUGGUAUUUUUCUUUAUUGCACAAUGAUAAGGAUUGAUUGGGGUGGUGAUUGAAUUGAAUUUUGGGGUUAAAAGUUUCUGCUAUUAUAAGUGACUUGUUUUGGCUUCUAUACUACCAAUAGUAUUAAUAAGGGAGGAGAAAGAAGACAGAAGAGAUGAUUUUGGGAGGAGGAAGAAAGUGGAAAAAGAAAAAGAAGAUAUUUUUUUGGCAGCUGAGUUAUUAUUAUUUAAUGAAAGAAAGUUAAUUUUUUUUUACCUAACUAAGAUGACAUGGCCAGUAAUUUUUAUGUGGCGUCCAACGUGGUAUUUUGAUGAGUUAUGUCCUUAAUGUCGUUCAUACUCAGUUAACUUUUACGAUCAAUGAUAAAGUUAAUUGAUUUAUGUUAGUACGAUUUGAAUUUUGUAACAAAAAAAUGUAUUAUUAAAAACAUAUGUCAGAUCGUGUGUCGGAUCUAAACGUUGGUAUUUGAUAGCUAUUUUUUCCUAAUCUAUUAGAUCAGUCAACUAAAAUAGUCAAGUAAUGGUUGAGAUGAAGGUUUGAGAUUUUGAAACCUUUACAUCCGCGUUCCCCGCCGGCUAAGAGCUAACCCAAAAGUCAUAAGUUUGCCUCCCGCCAGCUCUCAUUUAUCGAUUUCAAAGUUUCGAAAGGCACAUACAUGAGAAUCGUAGUUUUCUUUCGCACACGAAGUCACUUUUAUCGAUCGCAACCGUAUGAUUGAUCACUUGACGGAUUUGUUAGUAUAUAUUUGGUGGACUAUCCGAUUAUGAACACAGUCGGUUUUCAUUCGCCGAAACGCAUUUCAUAAUAUUAUAUUUUCCCAUUUUUUCCUGGUUAUACUUAUAUCUUGAUCAGUCAGAUGUGACUGUUUGAAUUUGUCGACAUCAAGUUGUUGUGCUGUUGAUAGCUCUAAAUGCUUGGCGGAGGUUGAUUUUCUAUUAUGUAUUUGCAGAUCUGUCGCAGCAAGUCAAGUCUGCGAUGGGGGACAUGCUUAAGAUGACAAGGUGAAUGGAAGAAGCUCGAGGUUUAAAUUGAAUUCGUUUUUCUUUCGGAUUUCUGACGGACUGCGUCUGCAGUGAAAUCGAUCAGAAUAUUGUCGAAGUAAUGGUGGAGAUGGGGAAAUGCAAAGAGUUCGCUACGGAGAGGAAGAAAGCUCUGGAUGAAGAGAAAGAAAAGUUUCAAAAGGCUGCUUAUGCCGUUCUAGAGAUGCUUGGCGGCUAAGCUCCAAGAACGCAGGUAUCCUCACUUGCUUUCUAAGUAUUACUAUCUUCAUAGAAUAUCGCAGUUCAAUUGUGGAUUCAGAUCUGGCCGUCAAACUUGCUUUAGCACACACACUGGUAAAUGAAAACACAUGAACCAUUUGGAAGUUGGUGUUUCAGAGUCAAUAAGGAGGAAAUCUACCAGUUGUACUUUCUUAUCCUUCUUGACCAGCUUAGUAAUCGUAUUGUACAAUCUAAAAGAUAAACAAGCGUUCAUUUUCUCUUAGAGCGUCCAAUUCUUCCACAUGCGAGCCAUCGCCCAUGAGGAUUUUGUCCCCUCUCUUUCCAAACUUCUUUUCUGCAUAAAUCAAAGUUUACAAGGUUAACUUUGUGUCUCCUGGUUAUGCAUGCCAUUGUAAUGCUGGUAAUCGGUGUCUGCAAUGGUCUUGUAGGAUAUUAUUCUGCAUGUUGGGUUAAGUGGUUCAUUUUGAUUAUUGUACAAUACUUGCUUCAAUAAGACAAUAUGCAUUAGUGCCUUGUGUAACCCUACUUGUUUAAAAGGAAGUAAUUGUUUUCCUGCAUACUAUAGACUGAUAAAUUUCAUAAUAUGGCUUUACCUGCCAAUCUGAAAAGUUCCUCAAGCGUAUCUGGUAGAUGUAUUGGCUUCCCGAAUGUAUCGUGCUCCAAUUGAAGUUCCUUUGGAUGAUACCCUUGGAUAAUUACCCGUACAGGGAACUUGCUAGAUAACAGAGUAGAUGUUUCAUGAGUUCCUGAAAACCGAGUUGUAGAUAUGGAUUACAAAUUUAGGCUUAGCGUACGAACUAUAAAUAGUGUUUCUCUUCUAUUUGCUUCUUAAGUUCUAUAAUGUUAACUUCUUGGAAAGCCAUUUUGACGUCCACUGUUAGCUUGUAGGCAGUCUAACCCAUAUCUUAAAGUUUCUAGGCAAGCACAAAGUUUCUCAAAUACCAACACAUAUUUUCUAGCUCAAACUCCUCCGAGCAUGCAUAUGCACAUGCUUGGAUUAAAGCCACACCCCAUUCCCAUUGUUGUAUCCUACCAAAUUAUCUUUCUUUAAUACCCAUAGAUACUAUCAAAUCUUGAGUUUACCUUCUGUACUUCCAUCUUUGGGGGAGUCUUGUGCUUGAGGAUCUUGAUCAUCAUUUGGGGUUCUUUCAUGUAGGAAGUUAACAGAUUGAUAGGAGAAACGAUCGAAUUUCAGAGAAUGAAGAAGCAGAGAAGAAAAUGUUGAAGCUUUGAAAAUGAUACUCGAUUUAUUCAGCUGGUUGGGUUUUAUACCAACCUCCAUGGUAAAAAGAACAGUAAAAACGAAAUUACAAACGCGGGUAAAAAUACGUGUCAUUAGUUCAUACAUCAACUUGGGAAAACAGACGGGAAAUGAAACUCUCUGUUUCAAUUAACUCGACUUCUCCUUUUAUUGACGUUGACUAACAGUCUUCCGAUUAACUUCGUUUGUUCUUCGCUACAUUGAACACCCUCCCACAAGUUGGAGAGUAUACAUCGUAAACUCCCAACUUGCCCAGAAGCAUUUGCAGACGAGUUCGAUGAAGAGCUUUGGUAAAAACAUCUGCAGGUUGAACCUCGGUUCCAAUGUGCUUCAAUCUAAUCACUCUUGAUUUGAUCAUUUCCCUCGUUACGUGACAAUCAAUUUCAAUGUGCUUAGUUCUCUCAUGAAACACUAGAUUCUCUGCUAUGUAAAUGGUCGACUUAUUGUCACAGUAGACCUCCAUGGGCAUAGGAACUGGAAUACCUAGCUUCUUUAUUAACUCCGACAUCCAUUGUAAUUCACACACCAAAUGUGCUAUAGAUCUGUACUCAACUUCAGACGAUGAUCUAGAAACAGUUCUCUGUUUCUUAGAUCUCCAGGUUAACGAUGAUCUAGAAACAGUUUCCUGUUUCUUAGAUCUCCAGGUUAUUAGGGAGUUCCCAAGAUAGGUGCAGUAACUAGAGAUUGACUUCCUGGUCUCUCGAUAAGCAGCCCAAUCGGAAUCACAAUAACUAGUCAAACUUAGGUCAUUCUUUGCCUUAUAUAUCAGUCCUUGUGUUGGAGAUGAUUUGAGAUACCUCAGAACACCAUGAGUAGCUUCCAAAUGUGCACUGUGAGGAUCAUUCUGAAACUGGAUGAGCUGUUGUACAACAAAUGUCAUGUCUGGCCUUGUUAUAGUCAAAUAGUGUAACCUUCCCACUAGAUUUCUAUACACUGAUGGAUUCACCAAAGGUUCCCCUUGUUUCACACUCAAUCUCAAGUUCACCACCAUAGGACUCUUGCUUCCUUUAGCUUCUAAAAACCCUGUAUUAGUAAGCAGUUCAACACAGUAUUUCCACUGGUGCAUCACAAUCCCUUCUUUUGAACGAGCUAUCAAGACCUAGAAAGUAUCUAAGCUCUCCCAAGUCUUUGAUUUUGAACUGUUUAUGUAAAUAAUCUUUCACCUCCUUAAUUCGUGAUAAAUCCUUUCCAGCAAGUAUUAUAUCAUCAACAUAAACCAACAAUAUAACCUUCGAUUCUCCAGCAUCUUUAACCAACAAUGAAUAAUCUGAAUUUGUCUGCUUAAAUCCAUGUUGCAGCAACGCAUUUGUGAGCUUAGCAAAUCACUGUCUGCUAGCUUGCUUUAAUUCAUACAAGGACUUUCUAAGUUUUAGACAUGUACCUGGUGGUGCUUCCAAUCUUACUGAUAUCUUCAGAUAGACUUCCUCAUUAAGAUCGCUAUGUAGGAAAGCAUUAGAAACAUCCAUUUGUUCCAAGUGCAGAUCUUGGGCUGCGGCAAUAACCAGCAAAGCUUUCACUGUAUUGAUCUUAGCUACAGGUGAAAAUGUAUCUAUAAAAUUGACACCUUGAAUUUGAUCAAAAUCCUGCGCAACCAAUCUUGCUUUGGGUUGUUCUACACUUCCAUCUGAUUUCAACUUCAAUUUGAACACCUAUUUUGUUCCAGGUUUAUGAAAAGCUUCUGAAUCUGGAACAACAUCCCAAGUGUGGUUUAAGAGCACCAAGUUCACUAUGAACUGCCACGUUCCAAUGUGGGUCUAUCAUGACUUCUUUAAAGCUUCUUGGUUCCUGUUGAAUCAUAACGCUCAAGGAAAAACCUUUAAAAUUAGCAGAAAGAUUGUUAUAUGAGAUCACAGAUGCAAGAGAGUGUUUAGCAACACUAGUAUUCAAAUGAUAGUCCUGCAGGUGUAUAUGUGGACGUUGUGAUUUAGUAGAAUGCCUGACAUCUAGCAGAACGGACUGCUUUUCCUCCCCUGCUGGAUGAAUCGCAGGAUCUUGAGACUCCACCUCAUCCUCAUUAUCAGAAAGAGAACCCUGCAGUUGGGAUGAAGGAUUAGUGACAGGUGAACUUGUAUCUAGAGGUACUGACACAUAAGGAUUAGAAGAACUAGGGAUACUGUUGGAAGGAUACUGAGGCGAUUUUUGAGACGAUGGGAUUGAUACAUCAACAUGGACAUUAUUGAGAGAAAGUAAAAUUUCUAACUCAAUGGGUAUAUCAGUAGACAAGAUGGCAUAUUUGAAAGGGAAAAUGUUUUCAUAGAAAACUAAAUCUCUAGAAAUGUAAAUUUAUGAUGUAGCAAGAUCAAGCAGUUUAUACCCUUUGAUAUGAGAAGGGAUACCUACGCUCUGUCUAGCACGAGGCUGAAAUUUAGUACGAUUAUGAGCUAAAGUAGCAGGAUAAACCAGACAACCAAACACUUUAACAACACUGAGAUUUGGAACUUGAUUAUAUAGCAUUUCAUUAGGAGUCUUGUUCUGGAUGGCAGAAGAGGGAGUUCAGUUUAUCAAAUACACGGAAUGAAGCAAAAAAUCACUCCAAUAGAUUAAGGGGAGACCCGAUUGAAACUGUACAGCUCUGGCAACGUUUAAAAUAUGCUGGUGUUUUCUCUCUACUUUGGCAUUUUGCUGUGGUGUUUGAACACAUGACAUUUCGUGAAUUAUUCCAUGCUCAUAAUCGAAUUCAGACAUAUGAAAUUCUUUUCCUUGAUCACUCCUUAUCAUUUUGACUUUGGUCUUAAAUUGAGUGUGUAUCAUGUUGCAGAAAGAUUGCAACAAAGCUCUUGCUUCAGAUUUAUAUUUCAUCAAAUAUAUCCAUACUCCACGUGAGUAAUCAUCAACGAUUGUUAGAAAAUAUAGGUAUCCAUCGUGUGAUUCAGUGGAUAAGGGACCCCAAAUGUCAACAUGAAUAAGUUCAGAGAUAGAAGUGACUAUAGUCUGACUGCUAUGGAAAGGAAGACGUUUAUGUUUAGAAAAAUGAUAGAUAGAACAAUGAUUGAGAGGUUCAGGAAAAAUAUUAUUGUUAUGACUACUUAGAAGUUUCAAUUUCUCAACACUGGGGUGUCCCAUUCGCCAAUGCCAGAGAUUGAUCUCCUAUGCUGGAAAUUGUGACUAAUAGCUACUUGUGAUCUGUAUGAAGAAGGCUGAUAGGAUUGAGUAGAUGAGAUGUGUAAGUAGGUUGGAGGUGGUAUAGUCCUCUAGUCUUAGUGGCUAAACCAAUCAUCUUGCCGUUUGUAAGAUCCUGAAGCUGGCAUUGUUUUUAUGGAAGAUCAGAGAAACAGGUAGACGAGAAGUCAUCUUACUAAUAGAGACUAGAUUGAACUGAAAUGUUGGCACGCACAGAACAUUAUGAAUCACUUGCCCAUGUGGAAGUCUAACACUACCAAUAUGGCUAACUGACAUGGGAGAGGAAUCAGGAAGAUAGACAUUGACUCCUACGACUGGUUUGUAAUUGAUGAAAUGUUUUAGGAAACAGGUUAUGUGGCCAGAAGCUCCAGUAUUAAAAUCCACAAGUCAGCUAAAUCAAGACAUGAACCAGCAGACAAAGUAAACUUACCUGAGUCAUUUGGAAGAGCUGGAAUCCCUGAUCUUGGCAUAGCGGCUUUGGACUGGUGAACCGCUUGUAGUAGUUCUUUGAGCUGAGUCAAUUUGACAUUUGUUAGAGAGAGAGCAGCUGCCACUGUAGGAGUCGCCUAUUGUUGAUCAACUGCUCCAACAAAACGAUUUGGAGAUGAUGUGUUGUCUGAACUUUGUGCAUUUUGUUCUUGUUGUUUCUUCCACUUCCACUUUCUACAUUCAUCAAGUAUGUAUCCCUCCUUUUUAAAAUAUCUACUAAACUUCUUUCCAGCCUGAGUAUAAUCUCUGGAAUUUCCAGUAUUUGCUACCAUAACCAGCCUUGCAUCAACAUUGGAUGGCACUGCAGAUGCUACAGUCUUUGCAUGAUUGUCCCUUCCAAUUACCAUACCACCUUUCAGCUUCUCUUCGUGUUGAAGAGCAUGAUCAUAUGCAGAAUUAACUGUUGGUAAUGGAGUCAUCAUAAGAAAUUGAGUUCUGACAACAUCAAAGUCUUCAUUUAGCCCUCUAAGGAAACGAAUCAGAUAAUUUAUAUCCUGCUUCUCCUGAAAAGCAACUAUUGCAGCACAAGGCAAAAUACUAGCUGAGAAUUGAUUGUACUCCUCCCAAAAGUCCUUUAAUCACUAUGUAAUACUGGGUGACUGACAUCUGACACUGCUUACAUCCAUGUAUUUCAUCCUGCAAAUUAGCCAAUUUCAAAGCAUUUGCCUGUCCAAACCGGCGUUUAAGCUCUUGCCAGAGUAUUUGAGCAUUUUCAUGAUUCAGUUCAGUUCUACGAAUCUCUGGAUGUAACGAAUUCGCAAUCCAAUGAAGCACCAUAGUGUUGCAGGCAUCCCAAAGAGAAUAUCGAUCACUAGAAAGAGUAGGUGGAACUAUAGAUCCGUCAAUGAAUCUGACCUUAUGCUUUGUUUUCAAUGCAAAUCUUACAAAUCUACUCCACAUUUGGUAAUUGGAUCCAUCUAAGACUGUAUUGACUAUGGAUUGGAAUAGAUUUUCAUUAGGAUUUAGGUAGUAAGGAUUACCAAAGGUUAGAUUGAUAGAGUUUGUUGACGAAGAAUCAUUGUUGCGAUGAGUGUUCCCGAUGGAUCCAAAAAUGAAUCCUGGAGUGUGUUGAUGAUUUGGUUGUUCAUCAUCUUCAUCAUCAUCAUCAUGACUUUGAGUCAUCGUCGAAUUUCAGAUCGUCGGAAGAGGCUCUGAUACUAUAACAGAUUGAUCGGAGAAACGAUCAAAUUUCAGGGAAUGAAGAAGCAAAGAAGAAAAUAUAUCAAUUUGGGAAAACAUACGGGAAAUGAAACGUUAUUGUAAACCCGAGAUCUGGUAUCUAGAUCAAGAAAUCUUUUUUGUUUUUCAUUUUUUAGAAAUUCUCUUCUCAUAUGAAAAUACUCAGAGGUGUCAUACCUCUAAAUCCAUUUCUGCUAGCGACUGGGUCAGAAAAGGCAGAAUUGGUUGCUUCAUUUUGAUCUUUAUGAAAUACACGUACGUCGUUUCAUAAAAGAAAGGCUUUUGAGAAAUUUUAAUUUAAAAUAAUUCUUAACUAAUUAGAAAUUGGUUACUUAGUUAUUUAAUUACUUGGAAUUAGAUUAAAUAUUGUACCUAGAAAUUCUGACAUAGUGAAAACAUAAAAUUGCCAGUUGACUCUUAAAACCGCAUCAACUUCCUCUUUCCGAUCUCCUCGACGCUAGGGUUUUCAUCUCUUCUCUCCGUGGGACUUGCACGGUCGUUUGGUAGGCUUUUCUCGGUGCCUAUUGUUGUUUCUACUCUCGAAGAUUCUCUCUCUAUGGUGAUCCUCACAUGGAAUUAUUGGGGGUUGGCAGUCCUCAAGCAAUCUGGGUGGUGAAAGACCUCAUACGUACCCAUCGACAGGAUAUUGUGGUGCUUAUUGAGACCUUCUCAACUAAGCAAACCAUGGAAGACCUAUGUGUGGACGUGGGAUUCGAUGGGUGUUUUGUGAUAGAGGCUAUUGGUCACAGUAGAGUGAUGGCGAUUAGGUGGAGAUACACUUCUCUCUAUACACUGAUUAACUUCUGCAGAUACUAUCAAUAUGCACGUCGACAAAGGGGGUGAAACCGAUACAUGUUGACUGGAUUCUAUGGCAUUCCGGACUGAGCUUGAUGCCAAGAGUCUUGGGACCUUUUAGGUUCACUGGCUAUAGGACCACCAGGUGAACCAUUGCUGUGCGUUGGCGAUUUCAAUGCUAAUUCUUGCGUCAGAAAAAGGUGCUACGCGCGCACCCACCUUAACCCAUAUCCGGAUUCUAAUCGACGAUGGAAGAUUGCAACUUGCAUGACUUACCAUCCAUUCGUCACCCCUUUACGUGGUCGAAAUCUCUCGGUUUGUCGCAUGCAGUGGAGAAAAGGUUGAAUAGAGCGUUAGCUAUGGAGGCGUUCCUCGUGUGAUACUCGCGGAUUGAGCUUCAUAACAACUUGGCACCAGGAUCAGUCCACGCCCCCAUUGGUACUUAUAACAGAUAUAGGACCUUAACCAUUCCAACGAUAUAGUUUCAGGUUUGAGAAUCUAUGGAGAAAGAAAGAAGGAUUAUGACCGUGUGUAGUGGGGACUUGGGAAGCAACAACAGACAAGGACCUCGAAAGUAGACUAACAACAUGCGUUCAAGUGAUGAUGGCCUGGGUAAAGCACGAACAACAAAAAUACAAAAAGAAAAUUCGAUAAAAGCAUGGCUAGCUAGAGGUUUUGCGAUCAUUGACCCUACCCCGGACACACAAACUUUACACCAAGCUCGUACAUAAUACAUAGAUUUACUACAUGAUGAGAACGCUUUCUGGAGAGAACAUGCAAAGCAAGAUUGGGCCAAAGGCGGUGAUAGAAAUCCAAGCUUCUUUCAUGCCGUGGCCGCUGGUAUACAACAUCGCAAAAGGAUUAGGGGGUUAACAAAUGCGCAUGGCAAGCUUAUGGAGAACGGUAGUUUGAUGGGUAAUAUUGUAGUGACAUACUUCGAAACUCUAUUCACAUCCCGAGGUUGCAAGUUUGAGAAUGUAAUACAAUGCAUCCCACUUAUGGUAACAUCGAACUAAAAUGAGAUGCUCAAAAAGCCGUCUACAAUGUUGGAAUUUAAACAUGUAAUUUUUGCUAUGAGACCUAACAAAGCUGAAUGACCUUGUGAAUUUAACCCGUACUUCUACCAGGAGUUUUGGGACAUUGUGAGUCUAACCAUUAUGCAUGAUUGCUUCAUGUGGCUGCAUCAAAACCGACACAAGAAACCAACAUUAUCCUCCUUCCCGAAGUUCCUAAUCCUAAUCGGAUGUAGGAUCUACGCUUAUCUCUUUGAGGUCGUUUGUGCGGGUGAAUUCGUAGGAAGAGAAUUCAAAUAGCUAAAGAAUUCAAAUAGCUAGAGAAUAUGAGGGUCAUGCUAUUUCAAGAAAUAGAAUGUUUGGUUGUGUCAUUUUAGGUGAUUGUUGGGACUAGAGAAUUCAAAAAUUAAAUGAAAUGGAAUGAAUUCUCCCAAAAUCCCCUUCCUAACCUAGUGAUUUCAAUAUGAGCUCAAAAUCUCUUGGGUCCCACAUCAAGAAUUCAAAUCUCUAACAUUCUCUCAUAAUUAAUUGUGAUCCAAACAAUCUAUUUGACAAAAUCUCUAACUUAGAGAUUUUAGAGACCAAAUCACCUAAAAUCACUCAAAACAAUCACUUGCACAAACAACCUCUUUAUGUAAUGUACACUACCGCAUACUGGCUAAGGUCUUGGCAAACCGACUUUGAUGUGUGCUACCAUCUAUUAUACGAGAAGAACAGUCAGUGUUUAUUCAGGGUUGCCCAAUUGUGGAUAAUAUUCUGAUCGGCUUUGAAUCCCUACAUAGCAUCACCACGAAAUCACCUACUAAGGUGGGCAACAUGCUUUGAAAGUUUAUAUUUCUAGGGCAUAUGGCCAAGUAGAAUCAAAUUAUAUGGAAGCAGUGUUGGAACAAAUGGGAUUUUCAAUGGUGUGGACCCAACGGAUGUUGCUUUGCAUCUGGUUGGUUCGAUAUUCGAUGAUGGUGAACGGUCAACGUUUUGGAAAGUUUCAGCCUAACCAUGGCUUACGUCUAGGGUAUCCAUUAUCGUCUUUUCUCUUUUUGCAAUGUACACAAGGUCUCCCAGCCAUGAUUAUGUGAGCGUCUAGACAGGGUCAUCUACAUGGAUACAGGGUGUGCUAGAAAGCACUUUUGAUCUCACAUUUGUUAUUUGCCGAUGACUCGGUGUUUUUUUUCCGACGCAAUUGCAAGAGGCUCGUGUCAUGACCUCUAUUUAAGCUGAAUAUGCGGAAGUGUCUAGGCAGUUGCUUAAUUUUGACAAGUCGGGAAUACAUUUAGUAAGAAGCUAGAUCCGAUAAUGUAUCGAUGAUGUCUAGUAUCCUUACUGUUUGGUCAAAGUUCGACACGGACGGGUACCUAGGGGUUCAGACAUUGGUGGGCCGAAAUCGAGACGAAGAAUUCAAGAAUUUUCAAGAGAGAGUUGGAAAACGCCUCUAAUCAUGACAAGGCAAGAAGUUCUCAAUAGGCGGCAAAGAAGUGCUUAUUUAGGCGGUGGUGCAAGCCUUACCAACUUACAAUAUGAAUGUCUUUUUAUUACAGGAUCAACUCAGGGAAGAGCUGGAGCAGAUGAUGAAUUCCUUUUGGCGAGGAUUGAAACGUACAACAUGCAGUGGUAUCCCUUGGAUGAAAUGGGAAAGAUUGACUAUUCAAAAAGAACACGGGGGCAUGGGGUUAUAAGACUUGAGAAGUUUCAAUACAUGGCGACUCCAAACCACACCUACAGACUUGGUGUCAUGUCUGUAUUACGAUUAAUACUAUCAAUUUGGUGACCUCCUCUCGACUGAACCUGGACCCCACCCCAAUUAAGUGUGUAGAAGUCUGUGGAAUUCCAAACCGUUACUUAAGCUUGGAGAAAUGUAGCGCAUCGGGAACGGUAAAGAGGUUAUUGUCUGGAUGGAACCUUGGCUGAAGGAUAAUGUCAAUCGGCACCUUCAAACUGGUUUUGAUCCCUCUCGGGCGGAUCUGAAGGUUUGUGAUCUUAUCGACUCAAAUUCUCAUUCAUGGAACGUGCAGCUGGUUGCAUAGGGGUUUAUGCCUCGCGAUGUACAAAUCCCUGCUAUACUUGUUUUUGUGGCAUUCAAGGAAGAUAAAAGGAUGUUACUUUAGUAAAACGAGAUAUAGAUUUGAACUUCUUAGUACCACAGAAAAUUUUGAAAAAGCUAAAUAGAUGAAAAUGAAAUGCUUUGAAGCUCUCGAAAUAAUUUUGUUCUUCUCUCCGAUGGAAGCGAGGCUUCACGUGAGAUAGUCUGGCUGUGGGUGUGCUCUAGUUCGUGGAUCUCGAGUCGAUCUCUCCGGUAAGGAUACUAGGUAUCUUAGCAACUCUUCCAUUCAUGUUUCAUGCAUUUCUUUUCCUUGUGGAUGUUAUCUGCGUCUACUUCUCACAGAUCCUCAUCUGAGGCUUCCGUAUCAUUGUCGACUGGUUUAGCUAUGGGUGUGCUCUGGUAGAGGAUUCUGGAGGUGCUCGAUUAGACGGCGGCCGCCUGGUAUGCUCCACGUAUGUUGAUUCGGUUGGUUUCGAGUUUCCUUGAGUGCGAUGGGAGCGGUUCUAGCUGGUUUGAAGCCAUAUUGGGUAGACCUUUUUGGCAUUGCUGUUCUGAAUAAAGUUUAUUUUGUGCAGCCAAAUCUGGUGGAUGGAGUGCUUCAUAUCCUUGCGGAUAUUGAAUAUGAAGGAAUCGCUAGGUGGAGAGAUACAAUUGUAGGAAAAUUCCAUGGUAUGAUGAAACUCUGGGGCAGUGAUGGGGAGAUCACUCUUUUUUAGUAUGGUACCGAGCUUUUCAUCUUCCAAUAUCCCCUAGCAAAGACUGCGAUUAAGUGGUGUUCUUGCGUUGAUGGACCCCUGAUAUCAGCCAACUAGUGAUGGAGGCUAAGGAAAUAACAUUACCUAUCUCGGUCGAGCUUCACGGGGUCCCCAUACAAUUCUAUUCCACUAAAGGGUUAAGUAGGAUCACUAGCCUUCGUGGUGCACCAUUGGGAAUUACACUGGCUACUCAGCAAGGUACUCAACUUGGAUUUGCAACGGUUUGUGUGGAGAUCAGUCCAGAAACUAAGUUCCCUAGCUUUGUGUCCCUAGCUUCUCGGUGGUGUCCUUUAACUGAAAUUGGAGUUGAGCAUUAUAACCAGAGGUGUGCAAGUUGCAUAAAUAAUCUAGAUAUGGCUCUGGUACCGUUGAGGAUAUCGCAGCUGGUAUGAAACCUAACUCCUAUGAGAUUCCUUAUGUGGAAGUGUAUGUGCCUAUUGCUGAUUGUGAAAUAUGUCCCUAGAUGACCCGAUGGAACCACACGAUUCGACCCAUGCAUUACUUAUGGGUUUCACUCUUUACAUAAAUAGCAUAACAUACAUAUGAAAUAACUGCACCGCAUAACCUCAUAGCAUAAGUAAAAAUAGCGGAAAUGAAAACAGAGCAUCAAAGGCUUGAAUUCAGGACUAAUACGACAAUGAAAAACAUCCCAAAUGAGGAACCCGACAUCCAGAUAUUAGUCUAUCAAAACAACUGAAAAACAUAGAAAUGUUUGAGAACAUGAAAAACAAUGAAAAUGGGUAAUCGAGGUCCUUCAAGGUACCUCUCCCUAUGACUCCUAGAGCCACUCGUUCGAGGUGUCACUACUCGUGAUGCUCUCUUAGGCGGCAUGUGCUCCUGGGGUUCAAUAGGUGAUCAUACAAGUUGAAAAAGAGACAAGGUCAGCGAUAAGCACUGAGUGACUAAGCUUGAAAUGGGAAGAACUGAACUAACAUUUUAGUAAGGUGAUCUUGUGGUCCUGUAGGUAUCAUCAUAAAUUCAGCCACCCAUAACUGAGAGUAAACAACCUCAUGGUGGACAAGAGCAUGAAACCAACAUAUAUAACAUGAGAGCAACACUGAAGGCUUACUCAUCACAUCUUGCCUGAACCUGAAUGUAACCUGGGCGAUUGUGCAAUCAAAAGGUGGGUGACCAACAUGUAACAGAAGCUAAUCUAGCUUAACCUGAAACAUAUCAUAACUUACACAGUGAAUCACAUGCACAAUUUAUCAUUGUGAGCAUAAGCUCAAAAUAACAAAUGUCCAUGCACCUAGGAGCCUGGUUGCAAAACAUAACACAUGUACAGUAGAUCGCACUCACUUGUACGCUCUAAACACCCAACUCUGAAAACCUUUCUCGGAAGAGUCUAAUCUGAAGCAGCCUCCCUAGAGCUCAACCACCUGAUCCGUAUGACAUGUAGAGAUCAAUUGAAGGAUUGAAAUCCUAAAACCCCAAAUCCUAACUUGUCUGGAUUUUCAGACGUAGGAUCGAAAACAAAGGAUUGAGAAAGGAGGAGGAAGGUAGAUUACCUUCUGAAACUUCUUCAAUGAUCUCCAAGGCUCUCCUAUUAAGUUGCGAUUGAUCAACUUUGUCCUCUCCUUUGCCUAAAAUCAAUCGCCGUCGUCAGAGGAAAUUCUAGAGUAGGUGUCUGAAAAUUUGAGUUAUGCAAGUCGCGACUCAGUUUAUAUAAUAGGUCGAUUACGCUUGUGGUCGACUUACCGCCACGUUUGUAGUGGCAUGGGAACCACGCCCUUGACUCAUUGAUGGUCACGGUCAUGAUUCCACUCUGGUCAUGAUUGUGACUAAUACUGACAACGGAUGUGAUCUGUCUACGACCACGCCCGUGACGGUCCGUCCAUCAGUCGAUUCUCAGAAUUAACAGAACCCAGAUUUAAACCCAUAAUUAAACGUUAACCAAACAUUAGGGUGUCACAACUCUCCCCUCCUAUAAAAGAUUUCAUCUCGAAACCUGAAUGUAAAAACUUAACACGGGGAAAGAAAUUACCAACUAGGUAGUCCUUCACAACUUUCGGGUAGCGCUCCUGCAUGCUAGCCUUGGAUUCCCAUGUCACAGCAUCAACAUCCUGAUUCUGCCAAAUCACCUUCAGCAUAGGCAUCUCCUUGCUCCUCAGCUUGCGGACCUUCCUAUCCACAAUCUGAGUUGGCUGCUUUACAAAGGUCAAGUCUCUCUCCAACUGAACCUCAUCUUGAUGGAUCACAUGAUCCGGCCUACCAAUGUAAGACCAAAGCACACUCACAUAGUAUACAUUAUGUAUCUGAUCCAACUCAGCAGGUAAGGUCAGCUCAUAAGAAGCCACGGGCCCAAUCUUCUAAAUAAUAUCGUAGGGAUCAAUGAACUGGGGAGCCUAUUUUCCCUUCCUGCCAAACCGCAUCCCUCCCUUACAAGGAGAUACUCGAAGGAAGACCUUCUCCCCUUCCUCAAAGCUAAGUUCUCUCCCCUUCCUGUCUGCAUAUUGCUUAUGUUGAUUAUGAGCACACUCAGUUGUACUCGAAUCACUCUCCUGAACCAUCUGCGGUCCAGUCAAAAAAUUUUCUCCCUCCCCAUUCUAGAAAAGAGGGGUCCUAUACUUCCUGUCAUAUAGGGCCUCAAAUGGACCUACUCUGCUACUGUGAUGGUAAGAGUUAUUAUAAGAAAACUCCACCAUCGGUAGAACCUUCAACCAAGGUUCAUCAAACUCUAAUUCAUAUGAGUGAAGUAGCUCCUCCAAGGUUAGAAUGGUCUGUUCCGACUGACAAUAUGUCUAUGGGUGAUAUGUGGUAGAGAAAUUCAGCUUUGUCCCUAAGGCUACAUGUAAGCCCUUCUAGAAAUGCGAAGUGAAACCCCCAGCAAUUGACAAGGUGAGUACUAGUGCGGUGGUGAGCCUUUUAUUCAGCAUCCCAAAACUUUCGUGGCAUGCCUUCCUCCAAAAAAUGGUGUGUCCUUCGAGGUGAGCUUGUGGAGUGGUCUUGCUAUCUUAGAGAACCCCUUUAAAAACUUCUUGUAGUAUUCGGCCAUGCCCAUAAAACUCGGACAGAGAUUUCAGAGCAACUAAAGGAAACUUCAAGGAGCUCAAAAUCGGGGAAGUAAUCAAGACGGCUAAUAAAGUUCUUCGGGAAGAUUAGCAAAAUUAGAUUUUCAUAAUUCAUUGUGUAAACCUAGAUUCAAUUUCUUCCUCUUCCGAUUUUUAUUUAUCUCUUCAGAUUAUGAGCAGCUAAACUUCUCUUUCUUAGAUUAGAUGAACCCUAGGUUAAUUCCUAUGAUCGAAUUAUUAAAUACAUUUGACGAUUUAUGCGAGUUGGAUGGAUUUCAUUGCAUAUUUGAUUUUAUUUUCGAUUUGUUCUUGCUUGAUCAACUUGAAUGAAUCUCUGUUAGAUUUGUAUUAGACUCUAAAGAGUUUUCAUGUCUAGAACGCAGAAAUCAAAUAACUAGGUUAGACGUGAACCCCUCAUCCGGGAGCGAAUGAACUAGUCUAUCGUGUGAGAAAUUCUAAAUCGGUAAAUCGACCUAGCAGGUUUUAGAUUUUUACCUCGAAAGAGCGGACUAGAAUACUAGAUAGGUAGAAAAUUAGCAGACCCGAAAAGGUGUGAUUUGAUUAGAGAAGAAUUGCGACACUGUAAUGCAUCUAUCCUAUUUCGUUAAAUUCAUGAAAUUUGUCUGUCAUUUGUGAAUUAGAAUUGCCCAGGGGAAUUCAAAAUCUAAGCAAUUUUCAUUUUUCUUUUUGACUGUUUGAUUGAUCCUCGUGGCACCUAAACUGCACUACUUCUUAAUUCGAUUGAUAUUAAUUACAACAUUCAGUAAGAUACUAAAAGAGACCCUAGGGAGAUUCGACUCUAGUUAAUUUAUUAACUAGGUUUAUUUUGAGACGAGUAAAAACCGUUCAUCAGUCAUCAAUGAAUACUAUAACAAAUUUGUCUAAGUACCCAUGAAACACCUUGUUCAUCAUUGUCGUGAAGGUUGUAGGUGCAUUAGUCAACCCGAUUGGCAUCAUUAGGAACUCAUAAUGACCAUAUCUGGAUUGGAAUGCUAUCUUAGGAACAACUUCCUCUGCUACCUUCAAUUGAUGGUACCCUAAGCUCAAGUCAAUCUUAGAGAACACAGAUUCUCCCUGAAGCUGGUAAAACAGAUCAUCAAUGCGAGGCAGAGGAUAUUUUUUCUUCACCGUCACCUGAUUCAGCCUCCUAUAAUCUAUGCACAUCCACAUGGAUCCAUCCUUCUUCUUCAUGAACAAUGUUGGCGCACCCCAGGGCGACACGCUAGAGAGGAUGAAACCCUUCUCUAACAGCUCUUUGAGCUCCUUCAACUCCACCGGCGCCAGGGGUAGGGUGUUAUGGAUAUAGGUGAUGUGCUUGGCACCUGCUCUAUAUCGAAAGCCACCUCCCGCUCAAAGGGCACCUCCCGCAGGUCAUAUGGGAAGACAUCAGGAAACUCCUGAACCACGGUGUCCCUCUACAUCAAGGAGGAUAUGAGCUAGGAAAGCCUUGCACGCACUUCUGAUCAAUCUCUCUGCCUUCAAAGUCUUCCCUACUAGGUGACUAACUCUAAACGGUCUAAUCAUCAUAGUAGGCAUGAAGGGAAAAAUAUGAAGUGUUUGAAGUGCCAUGAUGUGAUGGGUAAAAGUAGGUUAACAAGCAAGUGUUGGAAGCGCGCCUUAAAGUUAAUGAAGGAGAGCAUUAAACACUGUCCCUAAACAAUUUUAGUGAGAGUAUCUCCACUUCAUUUUUAAAUCAAGUCCCUUUAAGAGGAAGUCUAAAUGGGUGGUAUAACAUGCAUGAUGAUGUGUGGCGAGUUGAGGAACUUCUUCUGAGGUCGGCCUUUCCUUCCUAGGUUAAUUAUGUUUAAAGGUUUGCUUGGUUGUUAAGUGAUUUAGAGGUACCUUCAGGAAUAUGGAUUCACUAAGAUUACGCCAAGUAUUUUGAAUCAAUUGUAGAUGUUUCCUUGGAUUUUACCAGCUUUUUGCUUGAAAACAAGCAAGACUUAAGUGUCGAAUUAUUUGAUGACGCUCGAUUCACCGUAUUCAUCAUCCUCAUUUAUCCGACAUUCCAUACAUUUUUGUAUAGUUUUUGUAGAAGUUUAGGGUGUUUCUUUCAUUUUAAACUUCUAUUGCAUUUUAUGUCUCAGACCCGUUCAGGGUCCAUUUGAUGAAAAAAUUAGCCUUUUUAUAGGGGAGGUAGAUCUGAGUUUUUUUCCUUUUUUUGUUACCGUUGAGUGGGAGGUGGCGCGGCGCCGCUACCGCCGCCGCUAUGAUGCUCAUUGACACAUAGGAGGAGAAGAAGAGGAAGAAAAAAAGAGAGAGGGAGAGAAGACCGACGGUGGCGCAACUGGUACCGCCGACGCCAACGAAUGAGGGAAGGAAACGGAGGAGGAGAAGAGGAGGAGAAGAAGGAGGAGAAGGAGAGGAGAACAAGAGGAAAAAAGAGAGAGGGCAAGAGGAGCGGCGGCGCCGCCGCUGCCACCGCCGCCGGAAGAAUGGAGGAAGCAUAGGAGGAGAAGAACGAGGAGAUGGGGAGCAGAAGAAGAGGAUGAGAAGAAGGACAGGAGGGAAGGCAGAGCGUUUUGAGAGAUGGUGUGGGAAGAGAGAGAGGGGUGAAGAAAUGGGCGGUUUUCGAUUUAAGAGGGCCUUUUAUACGGCCGAUUAGGGUUAGAGUGAGUUUACGGUCUUCCUUCUUCAACGAGCGGACCAGACAUGGGCAUUUUUGUCUUUUCGGGUGUCGGAUCGAACCCUAUGUAACCAGUUCGGCCAGUUCAGCGCGUGGACUCGACCCCCUUGUUCGCCAUUUCGGCCCAAUUUUCCGGCUGGACCCAGCUUGAGCUAGGGACGAAUUUAGUAAGAAGGCCAAGCACCUUAGUGUGUUGUUUAGAUUAAUUUUUUUUAUUAAGCUCGGAUUAAGAAUAGAAUAAAACUAAAAUAGGUGUAGAAUAAUAACAAAAUGAAAAUCCUAACUUCUUUAUUUCUAUUUGGCAUUUAGGAGUUAAGGUCGAAAACUCAGAAAACCAGAACCUUUCGAUUAUUUAAAUCGACGUAACAUUUUAAUUAACGUUAACACAAUCACCAUAGAAUGAUCAAAUCACCAUAAAUAUUUGUGACGUACUUAUUUAAAUUAUGUCAAAUCAAGUUAAUUGAUAUAAACCAACUAAUUUGUCAUUUGGCAAGGAAUGUGAAAGUUCCUUAAAUAGUAACCCUUUAAAAAUAUUAUAACAACAUUAUACGAAUCUCGUAUCCGUAACAAGAGUUUUGGAUUUUACUAAAUUAUCAGUUAAUCAAAAGUGGAACAAAUAAGUGUCCAAAUUACGAAGCAUUACAAAUCAUUACAAAUCAUUACUACUUCUCCAAACUUUAUAAAUAACAAUAAUCCGUUUACGAAUCAAGAGGUUCGUAAGUAAGAACAUUAAAACGUGUAUUCCUCAUCCAUCAAUCAACAUAUCGGCACCAUCGGUUUUGGAAUACCGAAACACGAGGGAAUGGCAUCAUCGGUUUCAGAAUACCGAAUCACGAGGGUACUCUUUCUAAAAAUCCUAUCAUCAAAAUAAUCAAAUAAAUGUCUUUUAAAUAAAUAAACGAGCAUGGUAACGUGGCUUUUACAAUAGUCAAAAUCACACAAAAUCCUCGUCAACUUUUUCAAGCAAGCUAUGUGGACUUUGAUCCCAAAGGAUUGGGUACGUAGGCAGUCAUAAGACUCUAGUCCAAACAAUUAAAUAAAAAAUAUUGAUCUGAAAAUAUUUACUUAUACAAAACAAAAUCUCCACAAGAAUAGAAAUUCGUGAAAUCUUACAAAUAAAAUAAAUGUCAUAUUUCCUAACAAUUUCCUAAAUAAAUGCCAUAUUCAAACUAAAACAUAAUUAAGCCACUAGACUAAAGAAAUAAGGCAUAACUUAUCAAAUUUCGCAGUACCGAUUUACAGGUGUUGCGAGGGUGCUAAUCCUUCCUCGCACGUAACUGCCUCCCGAAUCCAAGGUCUCUGUUCCGCAGACCUAAUCUAACUCGUAUUCAGAAGGACCUGGGUUAUAUCGAAAGCGUCCAAUCCGCUUCAAAAAGAUUGGUGGCGACUCCAAACCAUCAGGUCACCGGUGCCGUGAAUAGAAACGUUCACGAUAGAUGACGACUCUGCUAGGACCUCUAGGAACUCUCUGAAGGAGGCUAACUACAAAAAUAAAGAUCUCGAUAAGUUUGGGUGCUUACUUUCUUUGAAGUGGCUUUACUGUCUUUAUAUGCGCUAUUUAAUUUCUAGUACUCAUGCAUAUGCACGCUCGAUACCCGAGCAUCGCCCUUAGGUAGAAUUUUGAGUGAAGUAGUGUUUGCCUUUAUAAUAGUAAGGGCACGUGAACCAUCAUCCCAGUAUUGAUUCAUACCAGGAUUAGCUAUAUUCACUUGAUGUAGUAUACCUAGAAGCCUCCCUCGGCCUACCUAGGAUAGAUCCUCGUGAAGCCCGUUCGACAGCUCAUAACCUAGAAAAGCCUGGAGAUAGGGAAUUUAUAUGAUUUAGUGUAAUAAUAUUACUCAACUUGCAUGUUUUCUCUUGGCUCUAUUUUGUAAUUAUUAUUAAACAUGUGCAUAUCACACAUUUUUAUAAAAAAAUCAAGGUUUGUUGCACGCGACUAAUCCCUAGAUUUACAUGCCCUUUGUCCUUAGAUGAAUGUGUUUGGCGAACUUGAGUCCUUCUAGGCGCUCCUCCUAAUGUCCCUGCAAAGGGAGAUCAUGUAAUGGACACUCCCCAAAAGAAACGCAUUCAUGGUUGAGGCCAUGAGGAUGAUUACACAACUUAGAAGUGGACGAAUGGGCCAUGAGGCCCGAUCCGACAUCUUGAUUGACAUCUGUGCAACAUGGGUAUGAACAUCUUCUUCAUCCCGCCGCACUGCUACGACUCCUUCCCAGCUACAGCCCGUCUCCUAUUGGCAUUCAUGGUAAGGAACGGGACCAUAGGGGUAGUAUUUCACAUGAAAAAACUGGCAGCUUGUGUCGCCAAAUGGGAGGCCGAUUCUGAGAUAGUCACCCGUCUUGGUAGUUGGCUUGGUAGCUUCUUAACAGUAAGUGAGUGGAAUACACUCCUACAACACGAGUGGCCGAGGGAAUACAUGUUGUUCACAUUUCACAUGGAACAGGUUACCAAUUACUAGGAGGAUGAGCUGGUUGUGAUGGAAAGAAGGCACGUUCUCUUUGAGGGUUCUUGGCCGACCCCGUUUGUUGGGUUGAAAUAAAAUGACUGUUAAUGGUCCUGAACAAUAUAAAACAUGACCGAAUCUCGACCGUCCUACAGUCAGCCGACAACUACUACUGUCAUGGCAGAAUCAAAGAAAGCACUAGGAUUCUCUCGGACAUACAGAUCGAGAACACCUUCUACCUCGAGGCAGAAUAUAACCAGACAGUCUUCAGGGAUGUCAACUUCAAGAGAAGCUUUGGGAUACCAUUGUACGGAGCCGAUUCAUUCAUGAGAAAUGGGUACGGUAGUGGCUAGAGAUCCGAACUAGUAUAGCAAAGGUUCUUCCCAAAUUUGUAUGUAUCGUGGAAGAACCUUGUUAGGACCUAGACGGGUAGCGCGUGCGUAGUGUAGUAGUUCAAAGUAGAUAAGACGGUACCUGUUUUGAGGUUUUAGCCAAAUACCGCAAUUUUGUAAUAGUAAUAGGGUAAACCACGACGCACACGCAUGGUAGCAUAGGUCAAACUCUCGGCAUCGCCUAUGAAUUUUGGGGUGCAUAAGUAAAAGUUUAUAAUAUUAAUGGAUUAAGCAUCCUUCUAAUUUCUACUAAUGACUCAAUGCAUGAUUCACGGAUUUAGUUACAGGCAAUAAAACUUUACGUUCGCCUUGUUUCUUUAAAACUUAUUUUACAUUUACUGAUGUUCGGUCAAUAUGUUAGGUAUCAUCAUCACAAUGCACAUGUUUUAUAACGUAGUUUCAUCUUGUAAAGUAUGGCAAGAUUCAUAGACACUGUUGAUGAGGAGGAAUAUGUUAUGUGGUCAGCACAACGACAAAGUGAAGCAUGCGGCGAUGAACCACUGUUCAGUAACCUGGCCCCAAACCUGCCAAACUGUCGUAUUACGGUACCAGUGUACGAAACGAUGUGUUAACAUGCAUUGGGUCAAUGUUCACAGAUGAAGAGAAAGUGUUAUUUGGUAAGAGAUAUGGAUGUCUGUUCGAUAUGAUCAACACCCCAUUCCCGGGAUUUGUGAUGCUAGAACUCCUAAAUUAUUGGGAUUGACAGUUUCAUUUCCCACAAUCAAUGACAUAGAUAUUUUUCCAUUAGCUUAGGAAUAUGGAUCAAUCCUCUGUCUCAGGGAUCUCCCACUUGGCAAGGUGUACGCAACUCAAUCUAAACCCAAGGUCGGGAAGUCACUGUAUCACAUCUUAGGGGUGAUGAAAGAUAAGCUAAAGGAUCAAAUUCAAGUUGGGACAACUUCGAGUAUUUACCUAUUAGAUACUUACUAGGAUACAUCCGCAACAGGAGUACAACACGUCAUGGGAGAGUCAGCGGUUUCACACUAAUCUUUUAUGGGGUAGUGUUGUAUCCCGGCGCGAUACACUUCAUUAGUGGAAACGCCAUCAGAGCUUUCGUGGCAGAUGACCACAAAGAAAACCCCACGUACGCAAUCCGGGCGAAAACUUUCAUAGCUCUUGAUAGUUGUUACCAACUAGCCGAGGAAACUCUACAACAGUGCUUCCUUGUUAGUCACAUGGAUCUUUGGGCAUUGAAGCCAUCACUGGAGCUGGGAAUACCUAAUGUCCGGUACAACAAAGAUUUCCAUGGAUUGACCAGCACGAUUAACGAGUUCACCCAGGCUAGAGGAGGGUACGAGAAUGCCACACAAAGCUAGUGGGAAAGGUAUUUUGCCACCUUCCAGGAAAUUAAGCUCAAUUUGAAAGCCCCACGGAGGACAACAUGGAUGUGCUAUAUAGAUGUGGGGAUAAUCCUUGGGUCCCUCUGCUAGGACCAAGGCGUUGCGCAGCAUAUGCUCCUACCGUGUUCAGAAGACAAAUGAGAUGCCUGCAAUUCAUACCAAAUACGAAAGGGAUAGGGGAAGCUAAUGGCGACCACAAAACCAAGGUAGAAGCACCGCUCAUGAGCUGGGAAAGGCAAAAAGGAUCGACUGCAUGCUAAGUUGCACAGAAACGAAGGAUAUCCACGACCGAGUGACUGAUGAUUAUCCUGAAUGGCAAGAGGUUCGUGGGGGCAGGCGAUCCACAAGAUUCCCAAAGGGAGGGCGCAAAAGGAGAAUGGGUGCGUCUAGUUCUCGAAAUAUCGGAGUCGGUAUAGAAGAGUAUGAUGAGUUGAAGGAUAGGUUUGAAGACCUUCAAAUCAACAUUCACAAGCUGGAAGGGCAGCUGAAAGCUAAGCAGGGACAGCUGAGUUUGGCAGAGGCAGAUAAUAGAGAUCUGAAUAGGAUAAUCGGGAAGUUAGAAAGGGGUGACCAAAAGCAUAUAGGGGGACCAUUGAAAACCAUAGAUAUGAGAUCCACUGAUUAGGGGCACAAGUCUAGAUGCUUCAGCAAAAAGUUAGGGAGUACGAGGAGCGAACUAGUUCACUAGAAAGAGAAGUACAGGAACAAAGGGCGAAUGAAGAUGAUAUUCACAUGGGGAUUCAAGCUAUGGGUAGGAUGAAGAAAAUCAUCAAGAAGAGAGCACGCUUUUUGGCAGCAUAUGUCGAAUACCACAUGGAGAUGAUGGAAGCCAUGGAAGAAGAAGGCGGGGAGACAUCAACCUUCUUAAGCCACUUCUACGAAGAACUAGAUUUUGACGGAAACAUGUCUAGAACCGGAGUUCAAAUUUUUGAGCUGUAGUUUGUACUUUCCUUUUGUAAAAUAAAUAAACGAUCAAUGUGUCAUGCUUUGGGUUGUAAAAGUGAUGUAGUAAUAAGCGCCACGGGUGUUAGUACCGUACUAUGUAGAAUGUUAUGAGCGUGUUUUACUGUUAAAGGUGAUCUUGUUUAUAAAACAGUUGUUAUGUGUUGAUGAUACCAUCCCUCCAUCCAUGCAUGUUUUCAAAACUCAUACAUAUCAUGCAACAUGAACAAAGCUUGGUUUUUUAAGUAUAACUAGAAAAAUAAAGAGACUCGUACCGCUUUUUCGCCAGGAAAAUCUUUCGACACUGCUCACUAACAGACGGUAGUCCCGACACACCAAUAUUGGACUCGCCUUAAAGCUAGGGUCAUGACUGAACAAACACUGGAAAAUCUCCAAAAGGAGAUGGCAAGAUUAAAGGAAGGCUAGCUGGGUUCGAUGAAAUGACGGAGCAGAUGAAGUUGCAUGUAAGAUUUGAUGGCUGGCAAAAAGAAGGUUAGAGAAGAUGAAGGCCAAAAGAUCGAUUCAGAAGUUCCUUUUCUUGAGCCAACAUGUGAUGGAAAUUCAGAAAGGAGAGUUGUCGUGAUCGGUAAUGAGCAAGAGAAAGCUGAACGGGAAACAAGAGAAGCUAGUGGGGACGGUACUCAUACUAGGUUCGAGCACAUUAAGCAUUCUGAAUUUCCCAUGGAUACGCUAUCCAAAGAAUGGUGCGAGUGCUUAGAAGUGGGAUUGCGGGCUGUAGAGGGUCUUGACUCUUACGGCACCCUCAAUGCAUCACAUAUAUGCCUUGUGUCAGAUGUCAUGAUGCCCCACAAUUUUAAGAUACCAGACUUUGAGAAAUAUGACGGCACCACUGUCCCGAGGAGCUAUCUGGUUACUGCAACAAAAUUGAAAACCAUACAUAUGAUGAUAAGCUGAUGAUGCAUUGCUUCCGGAGCAACUUGGGAGGCUCAGCUUUAAGGUGGUACAUGCAGCUUGAAAGAACAAAAGCUAGAAGGUGGCAAGAUGUUAUGAAUGCAUUCAUGAGACAUUAUAAACAUAAUCAAGAUCUUUCCCCAGAUAGGGAGGACUUGUGGGAUAUGGAGAACAAAGAGAACAAAUCAUUUCGUGAGUAUGCUCACAAGUGGUGAGAAAAGGUCGUCAAAGUAUAGUCGCCUAUGUUAGAAAAGGAGCUAGCCUCAAUUUUCUUUGAGACUUUGAAGCCCCCAUUCUACAGCAAUAUGUUGGGGAUAAUCAUGAAAAACUUCCCCGGCAUGUUGCUAAUCGGAUAAAGAAUUGAGAAGGGAAUCAAGCAUGGCAGAGUAGAUGGUCAUGAUCCUCUUAAGAAGCAGAAUACCACUCGUAAUAGGGAAGAGGUCAAUGCUACACGAGGUGAAGCUCCAAGGGCUGGAGGAUGGGUUCGACCGCCUUCAGGCAAUCAGGCAACGCCAUAUAUAGCCAGUGGUACACAAUCAACCGUUCACGCCUCAGCAAAGGACGACGCCCAAUCCUGCUAUUCAGCCAGGAGGAUACCAAGGAAAUCAACCCAUGUCAUACCACAGAGGCCAACCAGUUCGAACUUACUGGCAGAGUAGUUCUAACAAUUACAGGACACCGGAACCACUCGAUCACAUCCCAAUAUUGUAUACCAAGCGCUUCCCUCAGUUACUUAAGAGCAAGCAAAUCAUUCCAAUCCCUCUCAAACAGUUACAACCACCAUACACUAGCUGGUACGACCCAGAAGUCUGGUGCGAGUAUCAUGCUAGGGCACCUAGUCACAUGGUCGAAAACUGCAGGAGCUUCAAGUAUAGAGUACAAUAGCUAGUGAGGGCACGAUGGCUGAAAUUUGACGGUCAUCCCAGCCGCCCAGACUUCAAUAAGAACCCGCUCCCUAACCAUGGGGGCACAAUGUCGUUGUGAUCGGAAAGGGAGAAUCUUAUCGGGAGAAGCUGAAUGUUCCUGAGAUUAAAGCACUGUUGAAGUAUGUGUGCAAACUCCUCGUAGACGGUGGCUACCUAAACCACUAAGGGGCGAGGUAUCUCUGUAGGGCUAGAGGAUAAGUGUUUAUACCACCGCAUCAACUCUGACCAUACUAUGGAUGAUUGUGCGACUUUCAAGGAAAAGCUGCAGGCACUCAUGGACUCCAAACAAGUAACUUUCUCCUCAGGAAUCGAAGGAGCGGCUGACAUUUGCAUGGCGUCACCAGAAAGUCCAGACUUUGACUUCCCCAAGCUUGUGAUUUGCUAUCAUGCAGCCGCAAAACCUCCACUAUCGUCUUCGAAAGUAACGCCAUUGGUUAUAAGGGUCCCAAGACCUUUCGAGUAUAAAAGCUCCAAAGCGGUCCCGUGGGAGUAUGCAUGUCAAGCUAGUGAUGAAGACAACGAGACCCUCCAAUUAUAACCAAUAUACUCGAGUUAAGCCGAAUCACAGGGAGCGGAAGGCACUAUGGCAUGCCUGAUGACCUAGACGAAACAGAAAGGGUUAGAAGGGCGGAAAUAAGGCAAGGAAAAAGAGCGUAAUCUGAAAUUACUGAACCAGAUAGUGUUCCUCCUCGGGGUGAAUACGAGGGGAUGAAGGAAGAUGAAGAUUAUGAACCAAGAGUUACUGAUGAAGAUGCAUGUUAGUUCCGGAGGUUUGUAAGGCAUAAUGAGUCAAAGUAGUAGAGGAGCUUUACCGCACCCCAGCAAGGAUUUCACUCAUGUCUCUGAUGUUGACCUCUGAGCCCCAUCGUCGAGCCCUCAUAAAAGUUCUGAACCAGGCGCAUGUCUGCCAUGAUGUCUUGGUAUAGCAUUUUGGAGAACGGGAAAAUCACUUUCGACGAAGAUGAAAUACCUUCUGAAGGAAUGGGCCACAGUAAGGCAUAUCUCUGUAAAGUGUAUGGAUUUCAUGAUAGCAUGAUAACGGUUCAUCACUGAACUUUAUGCCAUCCACCCUAAACAAGCCCCCAAUUGAUGACUCAUACCUUAAGCCAAGCUUCACAGUGGUUAGGGCCUUUGAUGGCACAAAGCGCAAAUUCAUAGGGGAAAUCUCGCUACCCAUUCAAGUGGCACCCAAGGUCUUUCAACUGGAUUUCUGGGUAAUGGACAUAAACCCUACGUACAUCCUAUUGUUGGGAUUCUCGUGGCUCCAUACAGUGGGUGUAGUACCAUUGUCCCUACACCAAAAACUAAAAUUCGAAUCGAUGGAAAGCUUAUUGAAUUGCUCGAAGAGGAGGAUACGCUGGUAUCCAGAACUUCGAAAGCACCCUAUAUUGAAGCUGAAGAGGAAGCCUUGGAAAGUGCAUUCCAGACCAUCAAAAUAGUGGACUUCGCAUACGUAGGACGCAGUAUGGCCCAGAAAGCCCACAUUUUCCAAGCGACUCUGACAUCAGCAAAAUGCUUGGUUAAGAACCUCCACUACUCAUAAUACGAGGAGGUGCUGAAAGAACCUAUCCAGGUCAAAGAGUACAAGAACCGUGUGGGAUUGGGAUACAGUCCAAAGGGUGAUGAUAUAAGGAAGAUCUAAAGGGAACAGAGAAGGAGGAGGAUGUCCAAGUUAAUUGCGAUAUAAUAUGAUGACGACUUGACCUUCAUACCUCCUCCAUUAGGAGCGCUAGAAAGAUAAAUAUGAGGAAAAACUACACUGACCCGACAGUCGGAGGAUUAUAGUGGGAUUUUACAGAUAUCUCCAUCAACAUGCUGGGUACGGAAACUACGACCGGAAUAGAAUGGGUGCGCCAACUUCGUCCGGAAGAAGAGCUGAGCAAUUGGGUGUCUUUGGAGUUGCCUUCGCCAUCGCAAAUGUAAUAACUCUAAAAAUAUGACUACUAAAUAAAAGAAGCAAGAGUCUUCUAGUAUUUUUCCCAAGUUUAAUAAAGUAUGUUUUUCAUAAAUCUCCAUUUGUGCAUCGUCCAUAUUUUUCACUUUCGCUUUUCUUCUUUUGCCCUUUUCUAUUCCCUCUCGUGUAACAGAGUUACAGAUGUGUUUGAAAAUAAUGAAGAGUUUUGAAACACUAAAGUUGACUUUGAUCACUCAGUUUAUGAGGUGGAAACUAUGGAUGGCAGUGAUAGUUCUGACCUAGAAACAUAUUGGAUGGUGGAACGAGAAAAGCGAUCCUUGGAACCAUUCUAUGAGUUAGUGUAGAUUGUUAAUUUAGGAACGGAGGAGAAUCAGCAUGAGGUUAAGGUAGGAGGCAGUUUAGACAAGGCAGAAAAGGACAGGCUCAACGAACUACUCCAGAACUUCCAUAAUGUUUUCGCAUGGUCGUAUCAGGAUAUGUUGGGCCUCGAUGAACGAAUAGUAACACAUCACUUGCCAACAAAUAAGGAAUGCAAACCAGUAAAGCAAAAGUUACGGUGGAUGAAACUGGAAUGGAUAUUCAAAAUUAAGGAAGAAGUGCAUAAACAAUAUGAAGUCGGGUUAUUGCAGAUAGCACAAUACACUGAUUGGGUCUCUAAUAUAGUCCCCGUGCCUAAAAAGAAUGGAAAAGUGAGAAUGUGUGUGGACUACAGAGAUGUUCUCGUUGAUAAUACCGCCAAUCACCAUAUGUUUUCUUUCAUGGAUGGUUUCUCAGGAUACAACAAGAUUAGGAUGUUUCCGGAGGACCUGGAAAAAACCACCUUCUAGUGGGCCAUGAUCAUGUUGUUCCAUGACAUGAUACACAAAAAAUAGAGGUCUGUGUGGAUGAUAUUAUAGGAAAAUCCAAAAGGAGGGAUGAUCACGUAGUCGUGCUACGAAAAUUGUUAAAGCGACUCAGAAAAUACCAGCUCCUGCUGAAUCAAGAAAAAUGUACGUUCUGAGUCACUUCGGGAAAGCUACUUGGUUUCUUGGUUAGCCAAAAUGGGAUUGAAGUGGACCCUGACAAAGUGAAGGCAAUAGUUGACAUGCCUCCUCCACAAACGCAAAAAGAGGUGCGGGGAUUCUUAGGACACUUGAAUUACAUUAGCCGGUUCAUAUCACAUUUGACCACAACAUGUGAACCCAUUUUCAAGCUUCUAAAAAAGAACCGGCAUGUCGAUUGGGAUUAUGAUUGUGAUCACGCCUUUCAGAAAGUCAAAGAGUGUUUAUUAAAUCCUCCGGUUUUGGUUCCACCAACCCUAGGAAGGCCACUAAUAUUGUACUUGACGGUAUUCAAAAACUCAGUAGGCACAAUGUUGGCCCAACUUGAUGAAUCGGGAAAGAAAGAGUAUGCCAUAUACUACGCCAGCAAGAAGUUCACUGACUAUGAAUCUCGAUAUACACCGCUCGAGAGAACUUGCGGAGCACUUGCAUGGGUAGCCAAAUAGCUGAGACAAUCUAUAUUAUAUCAUACGACACUCCUAAUAUCCAAAAUGGACCGUAUCAAGUAUGUCUUCAAAAAGUCAGCCCUAUCUGGACGGAUAGCCCGAUGGCAAGUGCUGCUGGCAGAGUACGACAUCGUUUAUACCCCACAGAAGGCCAUUAAAUGGAGUAUAGUGGCUGAUCAUCUAACAGAGCAUGCAAUCUCUGACACGAAACCGAUGUUCAUGCACUUUCCUGAUGAAACUAUAAUGAACACUAAGAAAUUGAAGGAAGGCUUGGUCCAAAAGACAUGGGUGAUAAAGUUUGACGGGGCCUCAAGCUCAUUGGGGCAAGGCGCCGGGGUCGUGUUCAUCUCUCCCGAAGGGACGGUGUGUCCUAUCACUGCCAAAAUUUACUUUGAUUUGACCAACAAUGUAGCGAAGUACGAAGCCUGCACUUUCGAGAUUCGGGCAUUACGAAUUUCAAGGUAUAUGGUGAUUCAGCGCUAGUAAUAUACCAGUUGAAAGAAGAAUGGUAAAUAUGGGAUCAUAAGCUCGUCGCAUACUAGAAAUACAUAAGGGAAAUGGUGGCGAAAUUUGAGUUGAUACAAUUUAAUCACAUCUCGUGAGUGGACAACCACAUUGUCGUUGAUGUAUGAACUGGAUGAGACUAAGGCUAACCCCGGAAUCGAAAUCAAAAAUCAAAAUGCACCUGCUUACCUAGCUAAUGUUGAAGAAGAGCGUGAUGGGAAUCCCUAGUACCACGACAUAAGGACUUACCUACAUAAAAAGGAAUACCCUGCAGGGGCAUCUGAGAAUGAUAAAAGGACUCUACGGAGAUUGGCGAUGGGUUACUAUGUCGAUGGGGCUACCCUCUCCAAAGUGUGCCACGACUCUUUAACUGCUAAGAUGUGUGGACACCCCUGAAGCUCAGAGAAUAAUAGAAGAAGUCUAUGAGGGAGUCUACAGCACACAUACGGUGGUCAUGCACUAGCUAAACAGAUACUAAGGAUGGGAUACUAUUGUACGAAAAUGGACUCCGACUGUGUAAGAUACGUGAGAAAAUGCCACAAGGUCCAGGUUUAUGCCGAUGAAAUGCAUGUGCCUCCAUAAUUGUUUCACGUCAUGGCAUCGCUUUGGCCUUUUGUAGCAUGGGGGAUAGACGUCAUAGACAUGAUUGAACCAAAAGCGUCAUAGCCAUCGACUACUUCACAAAAUGCGAACAUCGCCAAACGCGUUGUCACAAAAUUCAUAAAGAAAGAAAUCAUUUGCCAGUAUGGGCUCCAAGAAAGAAUAAUAACCGACAAUGCAAAAAUUCUUAACAACAAGAUGAUGGAUGACCUUUGUGAGUAGUUUAAGAUCAAGCACCACAACUCGGUACCAUACCGACCAAAGAUGAACGGAGCGGUCGAGGCGACGAACAAAAACCUCAAGAAUAUCAUAUAGAGAAUGGUCGUUACCUAAUGUGAUUGGCACAAAAUGUUACAGUUUUUCUUGCAUGGUUAUCGAACGUCAGUAAGAACCUCGACAGGAUUGACGCCUUACCAAUUAGUCUAUAGGAUGGAGGCGGUGCUUUCCAUAGAGGUAGAAAUACCUUACUAAGGGUUAUCAUGGAGGCGAAGUUAGAAGAAGUUGAGAGGAUAAAAAAGAGUAAUGACCAGUUGAAUUUAAUUGAUGAGAAAAGGUUGGCAGCAUCCACCACAGACACACGUAUCAGUGUUGAUUGAUUAGAGCUUUAACAAAAAAGUGAAACCACAAGAAGUCCACGAAGGAGAGUUGGUAACGAAGAAGAUUUCCAUUCGAUAAGGGGACCCAAGAGGAAAGUGGAUGUUGAACUAUGAAGGGCCCUAUGUAGUGAAGAGGGUUCUCAGGAGAGGCAAUGAUACUAACAAGAAUGGACGGAGACGAGCUCCCUUAUCCAGUUAACUCUGAUUCAGUUAACAAGUACUAUGCUUAGAGUUCACAAAGGAAAUGUACGAUAUUGGUUUUCCAUCAAUAAAGUGAGGGUUUAAGUCAACUUUAUGUUUUGGAUACUUCAUGAAUUCUCAAAUACUAUUCUCCUAACCUUUGUUCACGCGUCACCAAACAAAAUGGACGAGGCACAACAGACCAAAUAAACUUGUGACAAAUACAUUCAUGCUGACACUUUUUCGUUCUAAUUAAUCAUUAGGAGACUUUUCGAAUGGAAGUACUAUUAAAGUGAAGAAAAAAGAAGAAAAAUAUACAAAAAUAAAAACAAAGUAAUAAUAAUAAUAAUAAUAAUGAAAAUCGUUGAAAGAAUGCAAGAGUGAAAAAAGAGGCUAAAAGAAAAGAAGCCCAUAUGGCAGGAUUGCUCCACUUAUUCCUAACCCAAGAAAGCAAUUUACAAAUGUCGUCGUUAUCUUACCAUUAUAUCUGGAAGCAGAGACAAGGUAAGAAGGCGCGAUCUGUAAAAUUCCAAGGCCUUAGCAUAGUGUGAAGAUGUCAAAAGAAAAACAAAGGAAAAGAAGUACAUAUGGUAAUAUUACUCAGCUAUCAGCAAAGUUAACACCAUUGCGCUAGCGCAUAAAUGAAAACGAAGCGGCAAGUCGGCUCUUAAGAUUAAGAAUCACGAACAUUUACUAAAGAUCAGCAAUGUCCCUACCUGUAUUUGGGGGCAGCAUUCCAAGCUAAAUGGGGCGAUGGUUGAAACUACCUGUAUUUGGAUUAUCCUGCCAAUAGUUAUCUUAGAAAAAUCUGUGAUGUUCUUCGUCAGCGAAGGUAACGUCUUGUUGCAAUGAGCUGCCCUGGAAGGACCUAUGAACAAGCGCAGUUUCUGACGUUUGACAAUGUGCCUUCUACAAAACAGUUAAUUUCCUUAGAAUAAGAAAAUCAACAUCCUGCCAUCACCUGCAUAGGUUUUGUAAACAGGGAAGCUUACUCAAACAUUUUCAAAACCAUUCAUCAUUAACACAUUCGUAGUCAUGGAACGGGAAAUAAGUCAAGCUAAGUCUCUAGUACAUUCACCCUUACCAUCUUGGGGAAAUGGAUAGCACCUUGGAAGAAGGGAGGAAGCAGAGGACGAGAAGAGGAGGAGAAGAAGGAGGAGGAGAGGAUGAGAAGGGGAGCAGAAGAAGAGGAGGAGAAGAAGAAGGAACUGUGGAGGCGCCGCUACCGGCGCCGGCAUCGGCACCAGAAGGAGAAGAAGGGAGGAGAGAUGUCAGAGCAUUUUGAGAGAGAGAGAGAAGGGUGAAGAAAUGGGCGUUUUCGAUUUAAGAACUGUUGGAUUGAAAAAAAAUGAAUGACAAAAACACCCAUGUCCAAAUUAAGAACUGUUGGAUUCAAAUUAAAACAUGAAUGGACAAGAUUUGUUUUUCAGGAGCAAAUAACCUCCGUCCUGGCUGGGGAUCCAGACUAUCAUAUGGAUCCCAUGUUGCAAAGUAAGACUUUUCUUACAACUUCUGUCAUGAAUGCCAAUCAGUCUUAUGUUCUGCAUAUUGUUACUUUUCCUAUAGAUAUUUGUAAAGAAAUUUAUUAAAGAAUCUAUAACUUUAUGUGUGGUAGCCUUCCAGAUAUGAGGAAACCUCACAUGAUUUCUUGGGAUGUUGUUUGCAGGCCAAAUUAGCAAUAAGGUUAUUUCAAAUUAGGGAAGGCUAAGGAGUUCAAUAAUGCCUACCUUACGAAACUUGCUUGGAAUAUUCUAGCCGAUGAACGGUUUUUAGGCGUUAUCAAAAUAAAUCUAGUUAACAAAUUAAAUAGAGGCAAAUCUCCCUAGAGUUUCAAUGUCAUGACUACUCAAAGUUAUGAAAACUGUUAAUCAAUUAAAUAGAUUUUGUGGUGUAUAUUCCACAAAUUUCUAAGUCCAUCAAUUAUUCUAAUAAUGAAAAUGACAUGGAGAAUAACACAAGGCUACAAGACGACACGAUAUAAGGUUUGAACCAAAUGGGAGAAAAUGGUUUAGACUUCGAAUCCCCUAGGCUAUCCAAUUUCACAAAUGACGGACAAAUUCAAUGAUUUUAUCAAAACAAGAUAGAUUCAAUUCACCAACGCAGUUCUUCUCUAAUCAAAUUACGCCAUUUUGAAUCCCCUAGGCUAUCCAUUUUCACAAAUGACGGACAAAUUCAAUGAUUUUAUCAAAACAAGAUAGAUUCAAUUCACCAACGCAGUUCUUCUCUAAUCAAAUUACGCCAUUUUGAAUCCCCUAGGCUAUCCAUUUUCACAAAUGACGGACAAAUUCAAUGAUUUUAUCAAAACAAGAUAGAUUCAAUUCACCAACGCAGUUCUUCUCUAAUAAAAUUAUGCCAUUUUGGGUCUGCUAAUCUGCUACCUAUCUACUAUCCCAGUCCAAUCUUUUGAGACAAAGAUCUAAAAUCCUCCAGGUCACAAAACAAACGAGAACUUCUCAAACGACGGAUUAGUUUAUUCGCUCCCAGAUGAGGGUUUAAGACAUAACUUAGCUGGUUAAUUUUUGUGUUCUAGGUAUACAAGAUCUUUUGAGACGAAGAAAAACCUAACAAAGAUUCAUUCAAGUUGAUCAAGAAAGAACAAAUCGGAAACGAAAUCAAACAUAUACUGAAAUUCACCCAACUCGCAUAAAUCGACAAAAGUAGUCAAGUCAUUCGUUCAUAAGGAAUUACCUAGGAUUAAUCUAAUCUAAGCACGAGCAAUUUAGAUACUCAUAACUUUGAAGAACAAAUCAAAAUCAAAAAAGGAACACAAUAGAAUUAGGUUACUAAGAAGAAAUCUGAAAAACCUAAUUUCGCCGAGAAUUGUCGAAGAAAUCGACCCGUCAAUCUUGAUUAUGUCUUCCGAUCCAAGCUCCUUGAAGUCCAUGCCUUUUAGUUGCAACAAAGUAUCUGAACUAUUCUAUAAUUUUUGUCCAAAAGGGUCUAUGAAUUAAUAGGAAGAGCCGGGCUUUAUAGAGAAUGAUUCCUUAAGUCUGACGGGCUACGAAAAGUGUGUUGUACGUGGACAAAAAAUGCGCCGCGCACUUUUGGUCAUUUGAUUGCGUACUUUUGGUAAAAAUCACAGAAUCUCAUGUGUAUACAUUUUUUAUAAAAUUUAACUAACUUUCUGACGCCGCCGACCUUGCAUCAAUCGGACUUCUGAGCUAGGAGAUAUUUCUAAAUCUAUCAAUUAUUCUGAUAAUGCAAAUGACAGGAAAAAUGAUACAAGGCUGCAAGACUGCACGAUAUAAGAUUUGAACCAAAUGGGAAAAAAUGGCUUAGACUUUGAAUCCCCCUAGGCUAUCCAAUUUCAACAAGCAAUGAGAAGCAUUUCAACAUCUUCUGAGAGCUUGGAUCUCGACUUGGUCGUAAAACGUCGCACUUUCGUAUUUUCGACAUGCCUCCUAGUUUAGAAGUCUGAUUGAUGUAAAGUCGGUAGCAUUGGAAACCUACUUAAAUUUUAUAAAACUAGAGAAACAUGAGAUUCUGUGAUAUUUACCAAAAUUGCGCUAUAAAAUGACCAAAAGUGUGCGGCACACUUUUGGUCCGCAUACAGCGCACUUUUGGUAAUCCGUAAGACAUAAGGAAUCAUUCUCUAUAAAAGUCCAGCUCUUCCUCAUAAUUCAUAGACCCUUUUGGACUAAAAUUAGAGAAUAGCUCAGAGACAUCGAAGCGACGACAAGGCAUCAACUUUAAGGAGCUUGGAUCGAAAGACAUAAUCAAGAUUGACGGAUCAAUUUCUUCGACGGUUCUCGGCAAAAUUAGGUUUUUCAGAAAUAUUCUUCUAAACCUAAUUCCAAUGUAUUUGUUUUUGCUGAUUUUGAUUUGUUCUUUGAAGUUAUGAGUAGCUAAACUCAUCGUGCUUAGAUUAGUUGAACCCUAGGUAAUUCCUUAUGAAUGACUGACUUGACGACUUUUGUCGAUUUAUGCGAGUUGGUUGAAUUUUAGUAUAUGUUUGAUUUUGUUUCCAAUUUGUUCUUGCCUGAUCAACUUGAUUGAAUCUUUGUUAGAUUUUUCCUCAUCUUGAAAGAGGUCGAAUAUCUAGAACACCAAAAUUAACCAACCAGGUUAGUCGUUAACUCUCAUCCAAGAGCGAAUAAACUAGUCUGUCGCGUGAGCAGUUCUCGUUUGUUUUAUCGCCUAGCGGAUUUCAGAUCUUUGUCUCGAAAGAGCAGACUGGGAUACUAGAUAGAUAGCAGAUUAGCAAACCCAAAAGUGAGUGAUUUGAUUAAGGAAGAACAGCGACGAUGAGUUGAAUCUAUCUUGUUUUGUUCAAAUCGAUUAAAUUUGUCUAUCAUAAAAUGCAUGACUUAUCACUCCGAUUAAUGCCUCAAUAUCGUCAUGUAUAUGAAAUCUAUCAAAAACACUCCAGAAAACAUCAAAUGGACCCCGAUCGGGUCAGAGACACUAAAUCGAGAUAAAAGCUUAAAAUGCAUAAAACAUCCUAAACUUCUACCUAAAGCAAUACAAUUAUACAUGAAAUGUCACUUAAAUGACAGUGAUAAAUGUGACAAUCUAGCAUCGUCACUGGCGUAGCUGGAUGCUCUUUAGGUUAAGAUCCUUUUGGCGAAGUAUACCAAACAAGGACCACAUGAGACAUAAAUGAUUAGGAAGAAGUCUGCUCCCCCCCCCCCCUCUUGGUGUGGUAUAUGUCGUGUCUCAUCCUUUGUGCAACAAGGGGUGAAAUAUUAUGUUCGGAGUGGUACAUGUACAUACUAGAUUUUGGUUUUAUAGUUGGAUCGAUGGAGGUGUUAUCUCUAUGAGAUGAAGAAGACCGAUGAAGGAGGGAAAUCCGAGUUGAUUGGUCGAUGAUCAAGGGUAGAGGAUUAGAGAAGCUAUGAGAUUCAUGAGAAGGUAAUCAAUCCUCUCUUUUCUCUCUUAAUACUAUAGAUUGAAACCCACGUAGGAAAACCUGGCAAUCAGGAUUUUUUGAGAUUCAAUCUUUGAUUGAUCUAUUCAGGUCUAUCAGGACGGGAGGAUUAAGCUUUGGGAAGAAAACCACGAAUCAGACUCUAUCGGGAAAGCAUUCUAGGUGCGAGGAUUAAGAGUACUUUCUGCUUAAAGCGUAGAACCGUAAUUAGGAUUGGCAGGAAUCCGAUGAUCGGAUUCUCGGGAUUGUACAAUAACGUGUUGUGUUUCGGAGCCCGGCUCCUAGGACUGUGUAGUAGCGUGUGAUUUACUGUAUGGUUGUUGUGAUUACAGAGCUGGACUCUCAAUACUGUUCAGUAGUGUGUGAUCUACUGGACAGGGCUAUAAAAUAGCGUCGAGCUCUCUGACUUUAGUAGUGUGUGAUCUAUUGUAAAGAUUGUUGUUUAAGUUCGAGCAUAAGCUGAUGACGUUUGAACUGUGAUUCAUAGUUCAUGUUUAGGACAUGAUUCAGGUUUACCUAGAUUAGCUCCCGAUAUGCAUUGGUCACCCACCCAUGGAUUGCGCAAUCCCCUAGGAUGUUUCUACCGGUACAGAGAACAUGUCGAGUAUGCCUACAGAUGCUGCUCACACGGUAUCUACAUGGUGGUUUCAUGGUCUGAUCCACCAUGAGGCUAUCAACUACUAGCUAGGGGUAACUGAUGAUAGGAUGAGGCUAUCAACAUCUGUUGCUGCAGCAUCAACAUUUUUUGAGCUUUCAAUUGAGGAGGAAGUUUUAGAUCUUGUAAACCCCUCAUCUGCUGAAGCUGUUGUAGUUGCUAAAGCUGUUGUGGGCUAAGUUGUUGGAGUUAUUAAGGGUUUAGCUGCAUACCACCUCCACCUCCACCGUCGCCGCCCUUGAUCGGAUUAUUGGGGUGGUGGUGGUGGUUGUUACCUCCGUCGUCGCCUCCUCCUCCUUCUUUCUGGGCUUUGCCAUUCUCAAAUUGCAUGCUUUUCAACUGAUUAGGAUUAUUAUUGGUUUUAGUUUGCUUUUGGGCGCCCCAGAAUUCGGUGUGUUUGUCAGCUUUGUUAAGCUUCUGAAUGCGAAAAACAGGGUCGAUGCUUCCUGAUACUAUUACUUUACCUUGGUCUAAAUCUAUUUGAGUUGAAAUGAAGCAAAAGUGAAAGAAAAAAUAAUAGAGAAUGGAGAAAGAGAGAAAGAGGGAUUUUUUUUACUCUUUAUACAUAGUUUCCCAAGGAACACAAAUGGGGUUUAGAUCUGAUUACAGAACAAAAAAGAAAUAACUAAAAUGGGGUGAAGAGAAGUGCUCUAUUUGUCAUGUGUUAUUUUUGGUGAUAAUGUGGGUGGGUUUGAAAAGCUCAAACAACAAAAAUUCAGAAAAGGAGGUUGUGAAAAAAUGUUCAGGAAAGAUUUGUAGAUAAAAAAAGAGAGGCGAAAUGGAGGGGAGGGGGAGGAGGAGUUGCAUAUAUAAAAUAUAUAGUGUGGAGUUUUGUUGGUUUUUGUAUUUUAGGGUAAAGAAAGGGAGAAAAUGGAAAAAUGUAGGGAAGAAACAGAAGUGAAGAGAGAAAUAAAUAUUUGACACCUAAUAAAACGGAAAGUACGGUGUUAUAAAAAUAUUUUCCUUAUAGUUCGUGAUAUCAGAGGGGAUUUAGCCUUUUUAAUACCGUUUGAAUUAAUUUUAAUUUAAAAAAUUAAUAUUUUAUUAAUACAGUUCAUAUAUAAUUAUAUUUUUAGUUAGAGAUAUAUUAGUGAUAAAAUAAAAUACGGACAGUAACUAUACUUUAGCUUAUUUCGUAAGACUCGACUGAAUAAGUGGGUAUUAUUAUUAUUUCAGGAGCCGCAAGAGAAAUAAAUAACUAAUUACGCAUGCUUUUACUUUCUUUCUGCUCAGAAGUCCGAAGAAACCAGGAAUGGAGAAAUUUAAACUGCUAACCACAACCGACAACUCUAUUGACUCACUUUGUCCUAAAUCAAACACUUCACCAAAUCUAAGUUAGUUUUGCUGCAUUUUCCUUCAAAGUCUGCAUCUUUACCCUUUUUUCCUUUACACUAGCUAAGCUAAGUAGGUAGCAGCAAACUCACAUCAGCAUUAUAGCCUUAUAGGGGUGGAGGGUGAGAUGGGAUCAGUCUCAGCGAGAUUCAAGCCAGCAUCACUAUGUUCUUCCGCGGUCAACCUCCUCAUGAUCUUCUCAGUCAUCACUACUAAUCUCUUCGCUCUCUACGCCUGAACUCACUCCCCCAACAACAACAACAACAACAACAACAUUCACCAUAAGAACAUCUCCUUAAUCUCCCACCAAGUCUCUCUGAUUCUCAGAGAGAUUGAUUCUUCCCAGAAGAAGCUAGCCAGGAUGGAGAAGGAACAAUUGAUAUCUCCCGACCCAACAUCGCCACCGAGCUCAAAUUGUAUCUCCAGCAUCACAAUAUCCCACUAGGCAAAGAUUCCAGAACUGGGAUCACUGAGAUGGUGGCAUCCGUUGGAAAUUUUUGUGACAAAUCUGCUGAUUUGCUCUCUCAGUAUAUGAACUAUAAGGUUUCUGGAGCUUGCCCUGAUGACUGGAGCCUAGCCCAGAAGCUGAUUCUUCGAGGGUGUGAGCCUUUGCCCAGGAGGAGAUGCUUUGCCAACUCAAUUCCUAAGGUGGGUCUUCUUCACUCAUUUCCUCUUUCUCUUUGGAAGCCUGUGAGCGAUAAGAUUGCUAGUUGGAGUGGUCUUGGUUGCAAGAGCUUUGAGUGUUUAGUAAGAAGAAACUACUAAGUGAAGAAUUUGAUUUAGGGAAUGAGAAUCAUACGUACGUUAAGGGUAGAGGGAAGAAUGAUCUCUUGGCUGAUGAUGUUUUGGGAUUGGCAAGUGGUGGGAUUAGGAUAGGGCUUGACAUUGGUACUGCUUCUGGUGGGACAUUUGCUGCUAGAAUGGGUCAAAGGAAUGUCACUGUGAUUACAAACACACUGAAUUUGGAUGCUCCUUUUAAUGAGUUUGUUGCUGCCAGAGGCCUAUUUCCUCUUUACUUGAGCUUGGACCAUAGGUUUCCCUUCUACGACAAUGUCUUCGAUUUAAUUCAUGCUGCUGCAUUUUAUUUCGGGACCAAGCCUGAGAAGCUAGAGUUCUUGAUAUUUGACAUUGAUCGGAUACUGAGAGCUGGGGGCUUGUUUUGGCUGGAUAACUUAUACUGUGCCAAUGAUGACAAGAAAUCGGCUUUGACUCAUUUGAUUCAGAAAUUUGGGUACAAGAAAUUGAAAUGGGUUGUGGGCGAUAAGCUUGAUUCAACUGAGAAACCCCAAGUUUCAUUAUCUGCAGUGCUUAAAUAACCGGCAAGAGGAUGAUAGGCAUGGAAUUCGUGCGAUGUGGUGGAUGUUUUCAGUCUCCUUUUACAUCGAGAUGAGGUCGACAACAAUUCAUCAAGAUGUCACAUUCUUGGAACACCCUAAUGGGGAUCUUCUUCUUCUUCUUCAUACUAUGAUGCAAUAAGCAGAUAAGGGAGACCAGAAGACCAUCAUGACGAAAGUUUGUUAUGUAAUUUAGGAAAUAUCUAUUUUCCCCUUUCUUGAUCAUUAAACUCGACAAAACUUCAAACUGCAGGGAAAUUGUAGUCCCCAGUGAUUUUCUUCCAAGUUUUUACCAUGGAAAUCAAGAAAAAACUUGAGAUUUUAGGAGACUAGACAUUGACAUGGAUGGUUGUCGAAGUAAUCUUCGUUUUGAUUUGGUCACUUACAUUACACCAUCCCAUUAGUUUAUGACAAAUUACUACAUACAUUACAGGAAGGCAGUAGCACCUUAGUAACUUACUACCCUAUUUAGCUAUAUAUAGCCGAUAACUCACUCAACUCCACCUUCCUAAUCGGUUUUCGAACUCCGAAAAAGAAGCAGCUCAAUUGCCAUGCUGAUCUCUUCAUUUGCCGUUUUAUGAUCAGACACGAAUCGCUGGAAUCAAUAACUCGUAUCCUUGUUAGUAACCUUGUCCAGCUAAGGAUGAGGUUGUCCCUUGCUGAAUAUUGGCAUUGUUGAGAAGCUUCAUUCCUUCCUCGCUGAUCUGCUGAACUUCUUGAGGUGACAGUAUCCUUAUGCACCGUACGCACCCAACAAAUUCCCUUUUAAACCAAAAAU